This 730-nucleotide small RNA is filed under the name Pongo abelii (Sumatran orangutan). RNAcentral's name for it is "processed transcript". The record is from RNAcentral. Lineage: Eukaryota; Metazoa; Chordata; Mammalia; Primates; Hominidae.
CGGGAGCCAGUUCGGUUGCGGGUGUCUUUGGCCCUGCGGUCAGCCCUGGGAACGUCCCGGAGAGCUAGAUUCCUAGAGGCCCGAUUCCGCUAGCCCGGAACAGACAAAGCCAGCGCUCCCGCCCGCUCCCCGACUUAGGAUCCGAUGCCGGCAGCGUCCUGGGGCCCCCGUAGCGGGGCUGGACCAUGAGCCUGCUGGACGGCCUCGCCUCCUCGCCGCGGGCUCCACUGCAGUCCAGCAAGGCCAGGAUGAAAAAGCUCCCGAAGAAAAGCCAGAAUGAGAAGUACCGGCUGAAGUACCUGCGGCUGCGCAAAGCGGCCAAGGCCACGGUGUUUGAAAAUGCUGCUAUUUGUGAUGAAAUUGCUCGUCUUGAGGAAAAAUUUCUUAAAGCAAAAGAAGAAAGAAGGUACUUGCUAAAGAAGCUCCUCCAGCUUCAGGCUCUAACUGAAGGGGAAGUACAGGCUGCAGCUCCUUCCCACAGUUCCAGUUUGCCCCUGACUUAUGGUGUGGCCAGCUCUGUGGGAACUAUACAGGGAGCUGGGCCUAUUUCAGGGCCCAGCACUGGGGCUGAGGAACCAUUUGGGAAGAAAACUAAGAAGGAGAAAAAAGAAAAAGGCAAAGAGAACAACAAACUGGAAGCAGCAGCCCCUUGCUGAUCCAUACCAACCCCAGAAUAUCUCCAGUCCCUGCAAAACCAGAUCAUCACCGACCGACCUGGCUUUCAUGAUGA